CCUACGGGAGGCAGCAGUGAGGAAUAUUGGUCAAUGGACGCAAGUCUGAACCAGCCAUGCCGCGUGCAGGAAGACGGCUCUAUGAGUUGUAAACUGCUUUUGUACGCGGGUAAACGCAGAUACGCGUAUCUGUCUGACAGUAUCGUACGAAUAAGGAUCGGCUAACUCCGUGCCAGCAGCCGCGGUAAUACGGAGGAUUCAAGCGUCAUCCGGACUUCUUGGGUUUAAAGGGUGCGUAGGCGGUCGGAGAAGUUAGAGGUGAAAUCCCGAGGCUCAACGUCGGACUUGCCCCUGAUACUGGUCGGGUAGAGAGUAGGUGCGGUAGGCGGAAUGUAUGGUGUAGCGGUGAAAUGCGUAGAGAUCAGACAGAACACCGAUGGCGAAGGCAGCUUACCAAGCUACUUCUGACGUUGAGGCACGAAAGCGUGGGGAGCAAACAGGAUUAGAUACCCCGGUAGUC
This 460-nucleotide ribosomal RNA is filed under the name uncultured bacterium. RNAcentral's name for it is "partial 16S ribosomal RNA". It matches the Rfam family "Bacterial small subunit ribosomal RNA", at positions 338 to 795 of the family's 1533-position model. The record is from RNAcentral.